UGCCGGAGGAAAAUGUCUUCAAUAGCAAGCUCCGUCAGGGACGACGGAGCAGGCACCGUUGAGCCAUGGAUGGUGAGUCGGUGCCGGUUGCGUGCAUUGAAGGCAUUUUACGCAGGGU
Non-coding RNA from Shewanella amazonensis SB2B, 118 nucleotides. NCBI's taxonomy places the organism in Bacteria, Pseudomonadati, Pseudomonadota, Gammaproteobacteria, Alteromonadales, Shewanellaceae. The record is from Rfam.